GAUCAUUACAGCGAAGCGGCGCGAGCCGCCUUUCGAACCACCGCGUACCGAACCCCCCACGUUGCCUCGGCGGGCGCCGGGCGCCCCGCGCCCGCCCCGCCGAACGGCCCCCCAGCAAGACCCCUUCCGUCGAGAUGGCGUCGUCUGAACCCUCCGGGGAAAACGUUUCUGAAACGAAAAACACAACUUUCAACAAUGGAUCUCUUGGCUCCGGCAUCGAUGAAGAACGCAGCGAAACGCGAUAGCUAGUGUGAAUUGCAGAUUUCAGUGAAUCAUCGAGUCUUUGAACGCACAUUGCGCCUCUUGGUAUUCCUCGAGGCAUGCCUGUUCGAGCGUCGUUACGCCCCUCAAGCGCGAGCUUGGUGUUGGGGACCGCCCCUGAGACACGGCGGCGGCCCCGGAAUGCAUCGGCGGUGCUGGUCCCAGCCCGGAGCGCAGCAGACAUGCGGCUCCGCGGGCGGGGCCGGCGCCCGCCGGACAAACGACGAGACCCCUCCACAAGUCG
This 505-nucleotide unclassified non-coding RNA is filed under the name leaf metagenome. RNAcentral's name for it is "partial contains internal transcribed spacer 1, 5.8S ribosomal RNA, and internal transcribed spacer 2". The stretch from base 185 to 338 matches the Rfam family "5.8S ribosomal RNA". The record is from RNAcentral.